AACGCGAAGAACCUUACCUGGUCUUGACAUCCACGGAAGUUUUCAGAGAUGAGAAUGUGCCUUCGGGAACCGUGAGACAGGUGCUGCAUGGCUGUCGUCAGCUCGUGUUGUGAAAUGUUGGGUUAAGUCCCGCAACGAGCGCAACCCUUAUCCUUUGUUGCCAGCGGUCCGGCCGGGAACUCAAAGGAGACUGCCAGUGAUAAACUGGAGGAAGGUGGGGAUGACGUCAAGUCAUCAUGGCCCUUACGACCAGGGCUACACACGUGCUACAAUGGCGCAUACAAAGAGAAGCGACCUCGCGAGAGCAAGCGGACCUCAUAAAGUGCGUCGUAGUCCGGAUUGGAGUCUGCAACUCGACUCCAUGAAGUCGGAAUCGCUAGUAAUCGUGGAUCAGAAUGCCGCGGUGAAUACGUUCCCGGGUCUUGUACACACGC
Molecule: ribosomal RNA, 434 nt
Filed under: uncultured Escherichia sp.
Lineage: Bacteria; Pseudomonadati; Pseudomonadota; Gammaproteobacteria; Enterobacterales; Enterobacteriaceae
Description: bacterial SSU rRNA
Rfam family: Bacterial small subunit ribosomal RNA
Source: RNAcentral